GCGCCCAUAGCUCAGCUGGAUAGAGCAUCGGAUUUCUAAUCCGCAGGUCGCAGGUUCGAAUCCUGCUGGGCGUGCCA
This 77-nucleotide transfer RNA is filed under the name Alphaproteobacteria bacterium. RNAcentral's name for it is "tRNA-Arg". It matches the Rfam family "tRNA". Rfam says of the family: Transfer RNA (tRNA) molecules are approximately 80 nucleotides in length. Their secondary structure includes four short double-helical elements and three loops (D, anti-codon, and T loops). The record is from RNAcentral. Lineage: Bacteria; Pseudomonadati; Pseudomonadota; Alphaproteobacteria.